RNAcentral lists this ribosomal RNA (756 nucleotides) under uncultured bacterium. RNAcentral's name for it is "bacterial SSU rRNA". It matches the Rfam family "Bacterial small subunit ribosomal RNA", at positions 8 to 796 of the family's 1533-position model. The record is from RNAcentral.
AGAGUUUGAUCAUGGCUCAGAAUCAACGCUGGCGGCGUGCCUAACACAUGCAAGUCGAACGAGAAAGGGUAGCAAUACCUGAGUAAAGUGGCGCACGGGUGAGUAACACGUGACUAACCUACCCUGGAGUGGGGGAUAACUGAGGGAAACCUUAGCUAAUACCGCAUAACACCUACGGGUCAAAGGAGCAAUUCGCUUCAGGAGGGGGUCGCGGCAGAUUAGCUAGUUGGCGGGGUAACGGCCCACCAAGGCAAUGAUCUGUAUCCGGCCUGAGAGGGCGCACGGACACACUGGAACUGAAACACGGUCCAGACUCCUACGGGAGGCAGCAGUGGGGAAUUUUGCGCAAUGGGGGAAACCCUGACGCAGCAACGCCGCGUGAAGGAUGAAGUAUUUCGGUACGUAAACUUCUUUCGAUCGGGACGAUAAUGACGGUACCGAGAGAAGAAGCCCCGGCUAACUUCGUGCCAGCAGCCGCGGUAAUACGAGGGGGGCGAGCGUUGUUCGGAAUUAUUGGGCGUAAAGGGUGCGUAGGCGGUUUGGUAAGUCUGAUGUGAAAUCUCUGGGCUCAACUCAGAGUCUGCAUCGGAAACUGCCGGGCUUGAGUAUGGGAGAGGUGAGUGGAAUUCCUGGUGUAGCGGUGAAAUGCGUAGAUAUCAGGAGGAACACCUGUGGCGAAAGCGGCUCACUGGACCAUAACUGACGCUGAUGCACGAAAGCUAGGGGAGCAAACAGGAUUAGAUACCCCAGUAGUCC